This 427-nucleotide ribosomal RNA is filed under the name uncultured bacterium. RNAcentral's name for it is "bacterial SSU rRNA". It matches the Rfam family "Bacterial small subunit ribosomal RNA", at positions 355 to 774 of the family's 1533-position model. The record is from RNAcentral.
UGAGGAAUAUUGGACAAUGGGCGCAAGCCUGAUCCAGCCAAGCCGCGUGCAGGAAGAAGGCCUUCGGGUUGUAAACUGCUUUUGUACGGAGCGAAAAGGUCUGCCCUAAUACGGUGGGCUCAUGACGGUACCGUAAGAAUAAGCACCGGCUAACUACGUGCCAGCAGCCGCGGUAAUACGUAGGGUGCGAGCGUUAAUCGGAAUUACUGGGCGUAAAGCGUGCGCAGGCGGUUAUAUAAGACAGAUGUGAAAUCCCCGGGCUCAACCUGGGACCUGCAUUUGUGACUGUAUAGCUAGAGUACGGUAGAGGGGGAUGGAAUUCCGCGUGUAGCAGUGAAAUGCGUAGAUAUGCGGAGGAACACCGAUGGCGAAGGCAAUCCCCUGGACCUGCACUGACGCUCAUGCACGAAAGCGUGGGGAGCAAACA